RNAcentral lists this ribosomal RNA (510 nucleotides) under Caulobacter sp. TERIPS13012. RNAcentral describes it as "bacterial SSU rRNA". It matches the Rfam family "Bacterial small subunit ribosomal RNA", at positions 147 to 693 of the family's 1533-position model. Lineage: Bacteria; Pseudomonadati; Pseudomonadota; Alphaproteobacteria; Caulobacterales; Caulobacteraceae. The record is from RNAcentral.
CUCAGGGAAACUUGAGCUAAUACCGGCUAAGCCCUUCGGGGGAAAGAUUUAUCGCCAUUAGAGCGGCCCGCGUCUGAUUAGCUAGUUGGUGGGGUAAAGGCCCACCAAGGCGACGAUCAGUAGCUGUCUGAGAGGAUGAUCAGCCACAUUGGGACUGAGACACGGCCCAAACUCCUACGGGAGGCAGCAAGUGGGGAAUCUUGCGCAAUGGCGAAGCUGACGCAGCCAUGCCGCGUGAAUGAUGAAGGUCUUAGGAUUGUAAAAUUCUUUCACCGGGGACGAUAAUGACGGUACCCGGAGAAGAAGCCCCGGCUAACUUCGUGCCAGCAGCCGCGGUAAUACGAAGGGGGCUAGCGUUGCUCGGAAUUACUGGGCGUAAAGGGAGCGUAGGCGGACUGUUAAGUUAGAGGUGAAAAGCCCAGGGCUCAACCUUGGAAUUGCCUUUGAUACUGGCAGUCUUGAGUACGGAAGAGGUAUGUGGAACUCCGAGUGUAGAGGUGAAAUUCGUAG